AUAGGUGCUAGGACAGAAGG
RNAcentral lists this unclassified non-coding RNA (20 nucleotides) under Mus musculus (house mouse). Its description in RNAcentral is "oocyte_clustered_small_RNA7041". Lineage: Eukaryota; Metazoa; Chordata; Mammalia; Rodentia; Muridae. The record is from RNAcentral.